CCUACGGUGGGCUGCAGUGGGGAAUAUUGGACAAUGGGCGAAAGCCUGAUCCAGCCAUGCCGCGUGUGUGAAGAAGGCCUUCGGGUUGUAAAGCACUUUCAGUGGGGAAGAAAGCCUUGGGGCUAAUACCAUCGAGGAAGGACAUCACCCACAGAAGAAGCACCGGCUAACUCCGUGCCAGCAACCGCGGUAAAUACGGAGGGUGCGAGCGUUAAUCGGAAUUACUGGGCGUAAAGCGCGCGUAGGCGGUCUGAUAAGCCGGUUGUGAAAGCCCCGGGCUCAACCUGGGAACGGCAUCCGGAACGGUCAGGCUAGAGUGCAGGAGAGGAAGGUAGAAUUCCCGGGGUAGCGGUGAAAUGCGUAGAGAUCGGGAGGAAUACCAGUGGCGAAGGCGGCCUUCUGGACUGACACUGACGCUGAGGUGCGAAAGCGUGGGUAGCAAACAGGAUUAGAUACCCCGGUAGUC
RNAcentral lists this ribosomal RNA (466 nucleotides) under Vreelandella stevensii. RNAcentral describes it as "partial 16S ribosomal RNA". It matches the Rfam family "Bacterial small subunit ribosomal RNA", at positions 338 to 795 of the family's 1533-position model. The record is from RNAcentral. Lineage: Bacteria; Pseudomonadati; Pseudomonadota; Gammaproteobacteria; Oceanospirillales; Halomonadaceae.